Molecule: long non-coding RNA, 834 nt
Filed under: Vulpes vulpes (red fox)
Lineage: Eukaryota; Metazoa; Chordata; Mammalia; Carnivora; Canidae
Description: lncRNA (ENSVVUG00000025583.1)
Source: RNAcentral
UAAAAACAUAUGAAACAAUAGGAGAUAUAUCAAGUACUCCAUAAAUAUCUCUUCAAUGAAGGAAAAGUUAGUAAACCUCUUUUUAAAAGUAUUGUGAAGAUUAACUGUGAUAGAUUUGGAAACACUUUAUAAAUUCUUUUAAACUGCUAAUUGAUAUCACUUUUAGGCUAAUUGUGAUCCAGGUUAUGUUUACUACUCUUAGAGGUUAUGAAAAUAGGAAUAGUAUUUGAUCUUGAAAAAUAUAUGUAUUUCUAAAAAAUUCUUAUUUACUGUAUCCCCUCCUAGAUAUCUUCCACAGGUUUUAACAUAUCAGUUUGAAUAAGGCACAGAAUUAAAACAAUGUACUCCUUCAUGGGUAACUGUAGCUCAUCCUGUACCAAGCAUAGCUGUUGCAAAUGGUUUCCACCCUCCUUAAGCUCCACUCUGCCAUUGCAUUGUGUGGUUGGGGGUGCAAAGGUGUUUCCUUCAGAGAACAUUGGAAAGGGAACUGUGGUGAGUGUGAAGUCCUUCUGUACUUUGACUGAUGGAAGUAAAGAAAGAGAGGGGAAAAGGUGCUUGGUGGUUGGAUGUGAACGUCAGCUCUUCUGAAAGAUCCACCUGUCCAUUAUCCUUCCUUCUUCCAUUUCCAUUUAUGUAAAAAGCAAUGGAGGAAAUUCAAUUUCCUUCACAAUCAGCGACAAAGUAAGAGUUUGCACAGCAUCAGUGUAAAGACAAUCUAGGAAAAAUAAUGAUGGAACUAUCUUUUUUAAAAAGUAAUGGCAAUAGACUUUUCACUAGAAAGGUGUGCCAUAUAGAAGAUAUAAUUCUUGCCAAAUAAAUAUUUUGCCGGGAACA